CCUACGGGCGGCUGCAGUGGGGAAUAUUGGACAAUGGGCGAAAGCCUGAUCCAGCCAUGCCGCGUGUGUGAAGAAGGCCUUCGGGUUGUAAAGCACUUUCAGUGGGGAAGAAAGCCUUGGGGCUAAUACCCUCGAGGAAGGACAUCACCCACAGAAGAAGCACCGGCUAACUCCGUGCCAGCAGCCGCGGUAAUACGGAGGGUGCGAGCGUUAAUCGGAAUUACUGGGCGUAAAGCGCGCGUAGGCGGUCUGAUAAGCCGGUUGUGAAAGCCCCGGGCUCAACCUGGGAACGGCAUCCGGAACUGUCAGGCUAGAGUGCAGGAGAGGAAAGUAGAAUUCCCGGUGUAGCGGUGAAAUGCGUAGAGAUCGGGAGGAAUACCAGUGGCCAAGGCGGCCUUCUGGACUGACACUGACGCUGAGGUGCGAAAGCGUGGGUAGCAAACAGGAUUAGAUACCCGGGUAGUC
This 465-nucleotide ribosomal RNA is filed under the name Vreelandella stevensii. RNAcentral describes it as "partial 16S ribosomal RNA". It matches the Rfam family "Bacterial small subunit ribosomal RNA", at positions 338 to 795 of the family's 1533-position model. Lineage: Bacteria; Pseudomonadati; Pseudomonadota; Gammaproteobacteria; Oceanospirillales; Halomonadaceae. The record is from RNAcentral.